GACGUGGACAAAAGGACGCGGAACUGAGCGCGCAAAGGGUGUUGAGGCUCAGGGCUGGGAGAGGCAGAGCCUGCACGCCGCGUUAAAUGGGAGCGCUCCGGGCUGCCGAGCGGGAAAGGCCACAGGCCUUAAAAUGCUGCUCACAAGAGGCUGGCAGGCAAUAAAUACCCACAUACUGUGUGAGGAGAGACUGCGGGAGCUGGGCCUGGUGCGACCUCACAUAAACCAGGCAGGGGAGGUGCACCAAAAUGGGAUAAUUUCCCACCAGAACUCAUACUGAAACCCUAAUUAAUAUUGAAAAGUCUGUGCUGUGCCAUGUCUUCAAAUCCUUGGAAUUUGGCUCUGUGCAUCAACCAAAACUGCUCCAGACUGAAGGAGGUGAAGUAAUCAAGUCCCUCUGUGUGCUGCCACCAAAGCCAAUGUAUGGACAGAAUGCCAGCAAUGCCAGGGCACCCAGACACGAGAGUGAAAUCUGAAGGAUCCUCACACAAAGGAUGCCCACAAAUGCAGUGCCUGAAGUAUCUCCUCCACCCACAAGCUGUGUCCUUCCUUGCUUCCUGACAGCUGCCCUGCUCUGCACUUGCCCUGAACCAGCUGCUGCUUCCUGACACAAGUUCCACCUGCAGGGCGCUCUGGCUUCCCCUGAACAGCAGGAUGCUGCUCUCACCCAGAAUUCAGCAGAAGGCAAAUACAGAAAUACAAAGUUCCUGGACAGGCAGGAUCUCUGGCAAGUGCCUGCCCUCAUCCAGGGAACAGCACAGGAAUAUUCCCCCUUGAGCACAUGUCAGCAGGCAGAUUUGAUUGUACAUUGUAAAGGUGACUCCCCAAAUUAUUUGGAGGAGGCUUGAAUAAGAAACUUUAUUCUGGUCUUAGAAAAAGUUAAGGCUUUUCCAAAUCCUACAAAAAGCAUCUGAAAUUGGAUAAAGGUAGAAACUCACCAGUGUGGGUGUAAACCAGACACUCCUCCUGAUGGAAUGCCCACCUUUGGGAGACAUGGGAUUAACAGCAGAUGUAGCUGCUUGGGGCCCUCAGUAAUUCCUUCUUCUAACACAAGAUUAUUGUCACAGAGUCAGCUGGAAAGUGAAGCCACUGGCACCAGAGUUUACAGAGAACUUUGGGUGAAACAGAGCAGAGAUGUCACACAGCCCUUCCUUCCCACAUCCCUGCCACCCUCACUUAUUUGCAGCAGCCUCAAAAUCUUCCCAUGAUCCAGCAGAGACACAGGGAAUCCCAGUAAUGGGACUUCCAUCUUCUUUCCAUUUGGCCAGAUCCCUCAGGCAGUGGGAGCAGCUGCAGACACAACUCUUGCCAUGAGCAGGACUCGGUAGCAUUCUGUGAUGUCACCUCUCAGAGUCAGGAGGGCUGACACGAGGGGGGGGUCACUGGUCUGCAGAGAGAACCACACAGGAACCCAGCUGGUCUUUUGGACACAGGAGACACGAGUGGAUCACUUCUAAACUCUGUUUCACUGCUCAGUGUUCAGGGUACCAGUUAUAGCUACAGGUGACAGGUGACAGCCUCUGUGCUGGCUCCUCUCUGUCCCCAAGUGAUGCUCCUGCUGCAGCCAGUGAGGUAUGACAGUGACUCAGCACUGUCCCCAGAGUGCCACAGAGGCUGUCCCCACGUCACAGCCAGGCACAGCAGAAGCUCAGAGCUCCCAGAGGGGGCUGGAAGGAAACGGAUCCUGUCAGCCCCCAAAUGAACGAGCAGCCCUCUGCACACUGUAGGAUCCCACACAGCCCCUGGCACAAACCUGCAGGUUUUAUUUCCCUCACCUUCUUGGCUGCCAGCUGAGGACUCUGAAUGGCCCCCACGGUGAUCUCUGCCAGGGCUGGCUCUGCUGAGCCCUCCACGAACUCCAGGAGCAGGAGAAGGGACCUCACUGCUUCUUGUGGCCCUGAACAAACAGCAGCCAGGUCAGCUCUGAGCCAGCCAAAACUGAGCCCUUGGCAUUUGGAGCCAACACAAACUGCACCAGGAUGGUUCAGAACAAAGUGAUGUGGCAAACCAGGAGCUGGCACAGACAGAGAGAUCCUUUCACAGAGUUAGAGAGGAAUUCAGGAAAAGGACUUUGGAUAAUUUGCAAUUGCAAACUGCAAUUAUUACUUGUUUAUCAAGUUCCAGGCUCGUUUUCUAGCCCAUGGCACACACCUCUGUGUAUUUUAUUCCUACUUAUGUGUGUGUGCUUGGACUUACUUACAGCUCAGGAGACAGGAGCUGUUUGCAUCCUGUCCCAAGAAAUUAAGGAAGAGCAACUUCAAACUCCCAGAAGUUUCAUAACAGGACAAACAGGAGAAUCCAGGAUAUGUGGUUGUAUAUGAAACAAUUUCUUAAACAUUUAAUACACCUCAGAGAGGUGGCAGAAAGCAAAUGGAUCUUAAUUCUUCACAGUAGUAUUACAUUAUAAUAAUAUUUUCAAAGAAGCUGCAGAGAAGACCAUCAUUAAGACAAAACUGCAUUCACAUGAAGAGAAAAACUUUCCUUAAGAGAAACUUUUGUGGUAUUUUUGUGUAUUAUGAAUAUAUGCUGUAACUUAAUGCUUAUUUUUUCAGAAAUACAGGAAAAAUUGCCUUUAAUUUCCUUUUUUCUUAAAGGAGAGGACAUUCCCAAGGCUGAUCCCUCCCUGUUCCACAAUAAACACUGGUGGCACUUUA
Long non-coding RNA from Passer domesticus (house sparrow), 2654 nucleotides. RefSeq lists it as uncharacterized. The transcript has 7 exons. The record is from RefSeq and is a predicted model, not a curated record. NCBI's taxonomy places the organism in Eukaryota, Metazoa, Chordata, Aves, Passeriformes, Passeridae.